AACCAGCACCUCAAGUGGUCAGGAUGAUUAUUGGGCCUAAAGCAUCCGUAGCCUGUUCUGUAAGUUUUCGGUUAAAUCUAUGCGCUCAACGUAUAGGCUGCCGAAAAUACUGCAAAACUAGGGAGUGGGAGAGGUAGACGGUACUCGGUAGGAAGGGGUAAAAUCCUUUGAUCUAUUGAUGACCACCUGUGGCGAAGGCAGCUUUCUGGCUCGAUACUGACACUGAGGGACGAAAGCGUGGGGAGCGAACAGG
This 253-nucleotide ribosomal RNA is filed under the name uncultured archaeon. RNAcentral describes it as "partial 16S ribosomal RNA". It matches the Rfam family "Archaeal small subunit ribosomal RNA", at positions 474 to 727 of the family's 1478-position model. The record is from RNAcentral.